This is a long non-coding RNA of Poecilia latipinna (sailfin molly), 473 nucleotides long. RefSeq lists it as uncharacterized. The record is from RefSeq and is a predicted model, not a curated record. The transcript is spliced from 3 exons. Lineage: Eukaryota; Metazoa; Chordata; Actinopteri; Cyprinodontiformes; Poeciliidae.
GUGGUUCGGGGCCAGGAGACGCUGGGCUGCUGAGAAACGCCUCAUUGUGUGGUUUGACCCGGAGUUGGCGCACCUCGUCCCCGGCUCCGUCUCCGCGUGGUGGAUUUAUUUGCACGAACCUCUCGGUGCCGGCUGGGAAAGGAUCCUCUUACCGGCUCGGUCCCGGUGUGAUUUUGGAAAUAAGCGGAACGGCUGUGGAUUAAUGUGAAUGUUCCGGCUGAACGGACUAAGCCUCAACGGAGUCUGCAGACUGAAAGAUUUUUAAACUCACAGGGACAAUCGGGACGGAAACGGCCUUCGCUUCCUGGCUGUGGUAGCGUCUCGCUCCGUCACUGGUUCUGCUCCGACGCUGCCUGUGCUUGACACUCCCAUGUUCAAGGGUGGAUUUGGCUUUGAAGACUUGACAUAAAAGAUGAAUCCAGAUGCCACAAACGGUUCCAUUAGAACAGGAUGGCAUGUCUUCACAGGGGGAA